GACGAACGCUGGCGGCGUGCCUAAUACAUGCAAGUUGAGCGCUGAAGGUUGGUACUUGUACCGACUGGCUGAGCAGCGAACGGGUGAGUAACGCGUGGGGAAUCUGCCUUUGAGCGGGGGACAACAUUUGGAAACGAAUGCUAAUACCGCAUAAAAACUUUAAACACAAGUUUUAAGUUUGAAAGAUGCAAUUGCAUCACUCAAAGAUGAUCCCGCGUUGUAUUAGCUAGUUGGUGAGGUAAAGGCUCACCAAGGCGAUGAUGCAUAGCCGACCUGAGAGGGUGAUCGGCCACAUUGGGACUGAGACACGGCCCAAACUCCUACGGGAGGCAGCAGUAGGGAAUCUUCGGCAAUGGACGAAAGUCUGACCGAGCAACGCCGCGUGAGUGAAGAAGGUUUUCGGAUCGUAAAACUCUGUUGGUAGAGAAGAACGUUGGUGAGAGUGGAAAGCUCAUCAAGUGACGGUAACUACCCAGAAAGGGACGGCUAACUACGUG
This 497-nucleotide ribosomal RNA is filed under the name uncultured bacterium. RNAcentral describes it as "partial 16S ribosomal RNA". It matches the Rfam family "Bacterial small subunit ribosomal RNA", at positions 28 to 507 of the family's 1533-position model. The record is from RNAcentral.